Brachypodium distachyon (stiff brome) is the source of this 976-nucleotide long non-coding RNA. RefSeq lists it as uncharacterized. The record is from RefSeq and is a predicted model, not a curated record. The transcript has 3 exons. NCBI's taxonomy places the organism in Eukaryota, Viridiplantae, Streptophyta, Magnoliopsida, Poales, Poaceae.
CCAAAAGCCGUCCCCUUUUAUUAGAAGACAUUCUGACUCUUCUUGUUGGUUUUUUUCUUCCGCCGACGGCGAAAUCCUUCCGUCUCCGGCGGCCGCAGAGAAUGCAACGAGGGCUGGCUCCCGGCCCUCUCCGAACCGGAGCUCGAUUUUUCUCAUCAGCUUGAAGAAAGCGGACGUUUCGGGAACCAGACGGCGGCCAGCUAGUUCACAUCCAAUGCAGUCCAGCUCCAGACCACAGUGGUGGCUGCCAGGGCAGACUUUCUUCUGGCCUGCAGUUCUUGCCGAGAAAUUGCCAAAGAUUUGAUCUGCCUAAGGCGGCUAGCUACUUCUCUGUACCUUUUUCAUGUCCUAUCAUCAUCAUCCAUUAUAACAUGGCAUGUUUCGUGUUGUAAUAGAUACUGUGGCUACAUGUUUCAGUUAAUGAACAUUGUCUUCGUUUACAGGAGGCUAUCCGGUGUUAUGGAGCUUUUGUCCUCGAAGCAACCAAACUGCCCCCAGCUGUACAUAUACAGCUCUGCAGAUCGUGUUAUCCCGGCAAAGUCAGUGGAGUCAUUCGUGGAGAGACAACCAAGAGCGGGGUGUGAGGUGAGGUCUUGCGACUUGUCUCAUCGCCCCAUGUGGACCAUUACCGGAGCAAUCCAGGGCUCUAUACCUCUCAGCUGACUAACUUCUUGGAGGACUGUGUGCUGAGCCAACGCGAGGACUCUUCGCCAUCAUCAUCGCCUGCGUAGGAUGUUCUUUGCAGGAGAAUACAAACAUAUUUGUCCCUGGUGAUCCAUUGAAAUGUACCAGGAUCAUAUGAGGAUUAAUUAUACAUCUGACCCAUUUCCUUCUUCUUUUUUCUGGUCCGCUCGUGGGUUAGCUUUGGGAGGCACAAUUGUAAAAAAAGAAGCAGCAAAAUUGUGGCUUACUGACACCGUGCACCAACCAUUCAUUUGUCUGGAUGAUAGAUUUGUUUGUUUCUUUGCACAUACUU